GCCUGAGUGGCUCAGUCGGUUAAGCCUCUGACUUCAGCUCAGGUCUUGAUCUUGCAGUUCGUGAGUUCAAGCCCCGCAUCGGGCU
Molecule: transfer RNA, 85 nt
Filed under: Felis catus (domestic cat)
Lineage: Eukaryota; Metazoa; Chordata; Mammalia; Carnivora; Felidae
Rfam family: tRNA
About the family: Transfer RNA (tRNA) molecules are approximately 80 nucleotides in length. Their secondary structure includes four short double-helical elements and three loops (D, anti-codon, and T loops).
Source: Rfam by way of RNAcentral